This 73-nucleotide transfer RNA is filed under the name Ictidomys tridecemlineatus (thirteen-lined ground squirrel). RNAcentral's name for it is "Spermophilus tridecemlineatus (thirteen-lined ground squirrel) tRNA". It matches the Rfam family "tRNA". Rfam says of the family: Transfer RNA (tRNA) molecules are approximately 80 nucleotides in length. Their secondary structure includes four short double-helical elements and three loops (D, anti-codon, and T loops). Further hydrogen bonds mediate the characteristic L-shaped molecular structure. tRNAs have two regions of fundamental functional importance: the anti-codon, which is responsible for specific mRNA codon recognition, and the 3' end, to which the tRNAs corresponding amino acid is attached (by aminoacyl-tRNA synthetases). tRNAs cope with the degeneracy of the genetic code in two manners: having more than one tRNA (with a specific anti-codon) for a particular amino acid; and 'wobble' base-pairing, i.e. permitting non-standard base-pairing at the 3rd anti-codon position. The record is from Rfam by way of RNAcentral. Lineage: Eukaryota; Metazoa; Chordata; Mammalia; Rodentia; Sciuridae.
GGGGAUAUAGCUCAGUUGGUGGAGUGCUUGCCUUGCAUGCACAAGACCCUGGGUUCAAUCCCCAGCACCACUA